This 222-nucleotide long non-coding RNA is filed under the name Elaeis guineensis (African oil palm). Its description in RNAcentral is "long non-coding RNA (EGUI_LNC013965)". The record is from RNAcentral. Lineage: Eukaryota; Viridiplantae; Streptophyta; Magnoliopsida; Arecales; Arecaceae.
CGCUUGCUUGAUUCAAUUUAUAUGUAUAGAAAGAGACAUUUUUGCAAGAGUUGAAGUUAUAGUUUCAAUACCCAUGCAAUUGGCUGGUCAAAACCGUACCAUAUGACACGCAGUAGGACAUUUGGAGCACUGGCACACGCACACGUCUCAUGCCAGCCAAUGCUCCAUGUCGGGUUCCACGUGAUAUAGUCCAAUAUGGCCGCAACUCUUAAUAGUUGGUGC